AACGAACGCUGGCGGCGCGCCUAAUACAUGCAAGUCGAGCGAGAAGGUGUAGCAAUACACUUGUAAAGCGGCGAACGGGUGAGGAAUGCAUGGGUAACCUACCCUCGAGUGGGGAAUAACUAGCCGAAAGGUUAGCUAAUACCGCAUACGUUUCCGGAACUUCGGUUUCGGAAAGAAAGCAAUACCGUGGGUAUUGCGCUCCUGGAUGGGCUCAUGCCCUAUCAGCUUGUUGGUGAGGUAACGGCUCACCAAGGCUUCGACGGGUAGCUGGUCUGAGAGGACGAUCAGCCACACUGGCACUGCGACACGGGCCAGACUCCUACGGGAGGCAGCAGUAAGGAAUAUUGCGCAAUGGACGAAAGUCUGACGCAGCGACGCCGCGUGGGGGAUGAAGGUCUUCGGAUUGUAAACCCCUUUCGGGAGGGAAGAUGGAGUGGGUAACCACUUGGACGGUACCUCCAGAAGCAGCCACGGCUAACUUCGUGCCAGCAGCCGCGGUAA
Molecule: ribosomal RNA, 501 nt
Filed under: uncultured bacterium
Lineage: Bacteria
Description: bacterial SSU rRNA
Rfam family: Bacterial small subunit ribosomal RNA
Source: RNAcentral